CGUCCAUAAAAACAUCAGUCUCUCAUUCAGACUCGCAGAGGUAUUUCUGCUGAUGUUCUGACUGCUUCUUGGACAGAUGAGGAAUCUGAAGGAAAGGCCAUUAGUGUGCACUCUCUUGUCCUUCACCAGGUACGCAUCUAAAGCCAGAUCUCAGGUGAGUCUCUGUGCUCCAUAUAUGAAGAUUUCACAGGCUGCAGACGGACGGCCAGUGUGAGUCCAGAGAGUUUGAGGUCCCUGGU
This 239-nucleotide long non-coding RNA is filed under the name Sinocyclocheilus anshuiensis. Its description in RNAcentral is "lncRNA (ENSSANG00000016907.1)". Lineage: Eukaryota; Metazoa; Chordata; Actinopteri; Cypriniformes; Cyprinidae. The record is from RNAcentral.